AUAGAGACCUCCGUGGAGAUGGGUCAGCAGUGUACUCUCACCUGUCUUCUAGGUGGGAUCCACUGGAUUAUUUCAUUGUCCUAGGAAAGGCCAGACAUGAGCCAGCAUGAAGAAACAUCAAGCAGAACCCUAGGAAUAAAAUGCAAAAUCCCUAUGGAUCCAAGAAAAUCUGCAGGAUUCCUCAGGCCUCACUAGACGUUGUAGGAGACAAUACGAGGUGUGAGAACACUGUUUCACCUUGGACUUUCCUUCAUCUUGGUUCCUGCCUUUCCCAGAGAGCCUCUGUGAGGCCAAGGAUAAAGGGAGACAGUGAGGUCAAGAGUCCGGCCAUCCUUCACUGACAUCUGCAUCUAUGGUCUCAGGGUUUCCUGCAUCUGGCUCAAUGACUUCCACACUAAGCAUUUCCCAGUUCAUGGAGAACGACACUCAUUGGAAUCCACUACGAGGCUUUUGGGUCCUCUGACAGGAAUCAUCGAAGAUUGCCUGAUGCCAGCACAAGGCAGCUCAUUGUCUCAGUGGCUCUUGAUGGUACUGCUGGACACCCUUUUCAGGAUUGCUAUCACCACAGACGGCCUUUGAGACACUGACUCAACAUCAUCUGCAACUGUGAGAAGCCAAUCAGAGGUGUGAGAACACAGCUCCACCUUGGUCUUGCCGUUGUCAUGGUUACUGCCUUUCCCUGAGAGCCUCUGUGAGGCCCAGGAUGAAGAGAGACAGUGUGGUAAAGAGAACAACCAUCUUUCACUGACGCCAGCCUCUGGGGUCUCAGCCCUUCUUGGGAAUGGAGUUAGAAGAGCAUAUUCCAGCGAUAACCUCACAGUCAUGAAAUGGUUCUUCCUCCAGCGUGACCCAACCAUGGUGAUGGUCAUAGGAGUCCUAAGGAUGAAAUCCCAAGACGAUGGAGGAGUGUCACCUCACAACAUGAAGCACCCACUCAGCUGUGAACCAAAUUCGAGGAUCAUGGGACUAUACUGUGGAUCCCACAAAAAAGACAGUUCAUUAAAUACACAAAGGUAGGACUGCUACAGGAAGAAAGUGGUGGAGUCAGAGGUCACAAUCCAAAGCAAGGUGACAGUCUCUUGAAGAAGACACCCUGAGUGCUGAAUUAAGGAUUGAGGCCAUCAAGCUACAGUUGAUCUUACAAAUGGAACCCCAAUGAGCUCAACUAAUAACUUCUACCAAGGAACCUGGAUCAACCCACUGGCCCUUUGGCUGGCCUAGAAUAUUCCCCUCUGGAGGACACUACCACCAGAGACCCCUUCUUUACCUCUAUCCAGCAUCUCCUUUUUCAGAUCGGCUUCUGCCACCAUCUCCUAUAGAUGUCACAUAACUUGAGCUACCAUAGGCUUCACAAGGAGCAGUGUGCACCCUGUCCAGAGAAAAUGGAUUCCUUCCGUCUUUUCUGCCACUGUGCUCACAACCGCAGGAAUAAAAAUUACUGCAGCUUCUUAGUUGCAUAACCAACAUCUUUUGAUGACACAUGGUCAUUUCUCCAGGAAAAGACUGACUGUCUCUGUGGAGGAACUCCAUAAUUCUCUCUUCCAUUACAUUUAAUAUUAAAAUGAUGGAACAUAAUGUAAAGAACACGAAA
Homo sapiens (human) is the source of this 1591-nucleotide long non-coding RNA. Ensembl annotates it as testis expressed transcript, Y-linked 22. Its record names the gene TTTY22. The record is from Ensembl. NCBI's taxonomy places the organism in Eukaryota, Metazoa, Chordata, Mammalia, Primates, Hominidae.